RNAcentral lists this ribosomal RNA (216 nucleotides) under Glomeromycotina sp. Its description in RNAcentral is "partial small subunit ribosomal RNA". The stretch from base 40 to 216 matches the Rfam family "Eukaryotic small subunit ribosomal RNA", at positions 686 to 864 of the family's 1831-position model. Lineage: Eukaryota; Fungi; Glomeromycota. The record is from RNAcentral.
GGGUCAGUAGGUUGGUCGUGCCACCGGUACGUACUGGUCUCACUGAUUCCUCCUUCCUGAAGAACCGUAAUGCCAUUAAUUUGGUGUUGCUGGGAAACAGGACUGUUACUUUGAAAAAAUUAGAGUGUUUAAAGCAAGCUAACGCUUGAAUACAUCAGCAUGGAAUAAUGAAAUAGGACGAUCGAUCCUAUUUUGUUGGUUUCUAGGAUUGACGUA